UACGGGGGGUGCGAGCGUUAUUCGGAAUUACUGGGCGUAAAGAGCGCGUAGGCGGUCUUUUAAGUCAGGUGUGAAAGCCCGGGGCUCAACCCCGGAAGUGCACUUGAAACUAAGAGACUUGAGUAUGGGAGAGGGAAGUGGAAUUCCUGGUGUAGCGGUGAAAUGCGUAGAUAUCAGGAGGAACAUCAGUGGCGAAGGCGACUUCCUGGACCAAUACUGACGCUGAGGCGCGAAGGCGUGGGGAGCAAACAGG
This 253-nucleotide ribosomal RNA is filed under the name uncultured bacterium. Its description in RNAcentral is "partial 16S ribosomal RNA". It matches the Rfam family "Bacterial small subunit ribosomal RNA", at positions 524 to 776 of the family's 1533-position model. The record is from RNAcentral.